This 478-nucleotide ribosomal RNA is filed under the name uncultured Bacteroidota bacterium. RNAcentral describes it as "bacterial SSU rRNA". It matches the Rfam family "Bacterial small subunit ribosomal RNA", at positions 24 to 497 of the family's 1533-position model. Lineage: Bacteria; Pseudomonadati; Bacteroidota. The record is from RNAcentral.
UCAGGAUGAACGCUGGCGGCAGGCCUAAUACAUGCAAGUCGAACGGGAUCUGAAGUAGCAAUACUUUGGUGAGAGUGGCGCACGGGUGCGUAACACGUAUGCAACCUACCUUUAACCGGGACACAACCCUCCGAAAGGGGGGCUAAUAUUCCAUGUGAUUAUUUUGUGGCAUCAUAAGAUAAUUAAAGAUUCAUUGGUUAAAGAUGGGCAUGCGUCCCAUUAGCCAGUUGGUGAGGUAACGGCCCACCAAGGCUAUGAUGGGUAGGGGUUCUGAGAGGAUAUACCCCCACACUGGUACUGAGACACGGACCAGACUCCUACGGGAGGCAGCAGUAAGGAAUAUUGGUCAAUGGGCGGAAGCCUGAACCAGCCAUGCCGCGUGCAGGAAGACGGCCCUAUGGGUUGUAAACUGCUUUUGUCAGGGGAUAAACCUAUCUACGUGUAGAUAGCUGAAGGUACCUGAAGAAUAAGGAUCGGC